RNAcentral lists this ribosomal RNA (35 nucleotides) under Meyerozyma caribbica. RNAcentral describes it as "partial 28S ribosomal RNA". Lineage: Eukaryota; Fungi; Ascomycota; Pichiomycetes; Serinales; Debaryomycetaceae. The record is from RNAcentral.
UUUGACCUCAAAUCAGGUAGGAAUACCCGCUGAAC